RNAcentral lists this long non-coding RNA (404 nucleotides) under Mustela putorius furo (domestic ferret). Its description in RNAcentral is "lncRNA (ENSMPUG00000029384.1)". Lineage: Eukaryota; Metazoa; Chordata; Mammalia; Carnivora; Mustelidae. The record is from RNAcentral.
AUGACCUCGUGGCCACAACUGUCUUCAUUGGCCCCAUGCCCUGAAGAGCCCAGCUGGAGGCAGGCAUGCAUAUACUGGGAGUGGAAGAGCAGGACGGCUGGCAGAACCAAAAGGUACCCUGAAUUUCAGCUAAGCCAAGACCGAGAUCCAGAAACAACUCAGUUCUGGGUAGUGAAAAGAAAAGUAGGACCAAACGCUCCUCAUCAGGAUACCCAGGCUUCCUAUGGCUCUGCCACUAUGAAGGGGGCCCCCCAAAGUGCAUAAACUUCAAGGCCUCAAAUCUUGGAUUAUCCCUUAUGGAGGAUUGCGUUUUAAAGUCAGAAGGUUAAGUAGGAAUCUACAAGUUCAUGCCUCACAGCAUGCCCUCGGAGCAUUGGGAGUGAGGAGAUGAGAUGAAGAAUCAG